GACGAACGCUGGCGGCGCGCCUAACGCAUGCAAGUCGAACGAGCGAGAGAGAGCUUGCUUUCUCAAGCGAGUGGCGAACGGGUGAGUAACGCGUGAGGAACCUGCCUCAAAGAGGGGGACAACAGUUGGAAACGACUGCUAAUACCGCAUAAGCCCACGACCCGGCAUCGGGUAGAGGGAAAAGGAGCAAUCCGCUUUGAGAUGGCCUCGCGUCCGAUUAGCUAGUUGGUGAGGUAACGGCCCACCAAGGCGACGAUCGGUAGCCGGACUGAGAGGUUGAACGGCCACAUUGGGACUGAGACACGGCCCAGACUCCUACGGGAGGCAGCAGUGGGGAAUAUUGCACAAUGGGGGAAACCCUGAUGCAGCGACGCCGCGUGGAGGAAGAAGGUCUUCGGAUUGUAAACUCCUGUUGUUGAGGAAGAUAAUGACGGUACUCAACAAGGAAGUGACGGCUAACUACGUG
This 466-nucleotide ribosomal RNA is filed under the name uncultured bacterium. RNAcentral's name for it is "partial 16S ribosomal RNA". It matches the Rfam family "Bacterial small subunit ribosomal RNA", at positions 28 to 507 of the family's 1533-position model. The record is from RNAcentral.